This 276-nucleotide long non-coding RNA is filed under the name Dasypus novemcinctus (nine-banded armadillo). RNAcentral describes it as "lncRNA (ENSDNOG00000050930.1)". Lineage: Eukaryota; Metazoa; Chordata; Mammalia; Cingulata; Dasypodidae. The record is from RNAcentral.
AGAGAAUCCGAAUCCCAGCUGGCCACAGGGACGCCGGGCGAGGGCUGCACGGAGCCCCGCGCCUGGCUCUUCACUUCCGAUAGUCCGUGUCCCUGCACACCCUGAAAUCCCCUCCGCAGGGUGGAAAGCACCAGAAUCCUGGGGAUUUUUCUGGAGUGGAUUUUAUUUGGCCAGUGAGAAAGAACCAUGAUUAUCUACGAUGGUCAGAGGAGAACGUCACAGUGGCGGGCACCUGCCAAAUCAAGACCCCCUGCUGUCAGCAUUCAACAUGACCAC